GCUAAACGCGAAGAACCUUACCCACCUUUGACAUGUACGGAAUCCUUUAGAGAUAGAGGAGUGCUCGAAAGAGAGCCGUAACACAGGUGCUGCAUGGCUGUCGUCAGCUCGUGUCGUGAGAUGUUGGGUUAAGUCCCGCAACGAGCGCAACCCUUGCCAUUAGUUGCUACGAAAGGGCACUCUAAUGGGACUGCCGGUGACAAACCGGAGGAAGGUGGGGAUGACGUCAAGUCCUCAUGGCCCUUAUAGGUGGGGCUACACACGUCAUACAAUGGCUGGUACAGAGGGUUGCCAACCCGCGAGGGGGAGCCAAUCCCACAAAGCCAGUCGUAGUCCGGAUCGCAGUCUGCAACUCGACUGCGUGAAGUCGGAAUCGCUAGUAAUCGCGGAUCAGAAUGUCGCGGUGAAUACGUUCCCGGGUCUUGUACACACCG
RNAcentral lists this ribosomal RNA (434 nucleotides) under uncultured bacterium. RNAcentral describes it as "bacterial SSU rRNA". It matches the Rfam family "Bacterial small subunit ribosomal RNA", at positions 954 to 1392 of the family's 1533-position model. The record is from RNAcentral.